This 291-nucleotide ribosomal RNA is filed under the name uncultured bacterium. RNAcentral's name for it is "partial 16S ribosomal RNA". It matches the Rfam family "Bacterial small subunit ribosomal RNA", at positions 355 to 638 of the family's 1533-position model. The record is from RNAcentral.
UAGGGAAUCUUCCACAAUGGACGCAAGUCUGAUGGAGCAACGCCGCGUGAGUGAAGAAGGUUUUCGGACCGUAAAGCUCUGUUGUUGGUGAAGAAGGAUAGAGGUAGCAACUGGCCUUUAUUUGACGGUAAUCAACCAGAAAGUCACGGCUAACUACGUGCCAGCAGCCGCGGUAAUACGUAGGUGGCAAGCGUUGUCCGGAUUUAUUGGGCGUAAAGCGAGCGCAGGCGGAAGAAUAAGUCUGAUGUGAAAGCCCUCGGCUUAACCGAGGAAUUGCAUCGGAAACUGUUU